This 253-nucleotide ribosomal RNA is filed under the name uncultured bacterium. Its description in RNAcentral is "partial 16S ribosomal RNA". It matches the Rfam family "Bacterial small subunit ribosomal RNA", at positions 524 to 776 of the family's 1533-position model. The record is from RNAcentral.
UACGGGGGGUGCGAGCGUUGUCCGGAAUCACUGGGCGUAAAGCGUGCGUAGGCGGUUCGUUGUGUCUGUGGUGAAAGCCCCGGGCUUAACCUGGGAAUGGCCAUGGAAACUGGCGAGCUGGAGUCUGGGAGAGGGUAGUGGAAUUUCCGGUGUAGCGGUGAAAUGCGUAGAGAUCGGAAGGAACACCAGUGGCGAAGGCGGCUACCUGGCCUAAUACUGACACUGAGGCACGAAAGCGUGGGGAGCAAACAGG